UUGUAGGCUUGGUCGGGAAGCUAGCCCCUUUCCUCUAUGCAAACGGGCUUUAUGGCAGACGACGGACGACUAGUGAAAAAAGAUUUUGGAAUCGAGUCUUUAAUCUUUUGUUGACGCUUUGUCCGCUUUGAUCCUACAUUUGUGAACCGGGUCAGGUGGGGAACCAAGCAGCCCUAAUCAUUUGUCAUGGGUGCUUAGCGGGUUGCAAAGUUGAGAAAGUUUGAAGGUAGCUCUUCCUUUAACUUUUCAGCCAGUUUUCCGGCCUACAU
Molecule: signal recognition particle RNA, 269 nt
Filed under: archaeon
Lineage: Archaea
Description: signal recognition particle sRNA
Rfam family: Bacterial small signal recognition particle RNA (bases 120-207)
Source: RNAcentral